RNAcentral lists this ribosomal RNA (498 nucleotides) under uncultured bacterium. RNAcentral's name for it is "partial 16S ribosomal RNA". It matches the Rfam family "Bacterial small subunit ribosomal RNA", at positions 29 to 523 of the family's 1533-position model. The record is from RNAcentral.
AUUGAACGCUGGCGGCAUGCUUUACACAUGCAAGUCGAACGGUAACAGGCCGCAAGGUGCUGACGAGUGGCGAACGGGUGAGUAAUGCAUCGGAACGUGCCCAGUCGUGGGGGAUAACGCAGCGAAAGCUGCGCUAAUACCGCAUACGAUCUAUGGAUGAAAGCGGGGGACCGUAAGGCCUCGCGCGAUUGGAGCGGCCGAUGUCAGAUUAGGUAGUUGGUGGGGUAAAGGCUCACCAAGCCAACGAUCUGUAGCUGGUCUGAGAGGACGACCAGCCACACUGGGACGGAGACACGGCACAGACUCCUACGGGAGGCAGCAGGGGGGAAUUUUGGACAAUGGGCGCAAGCCUGAUCCAGCAAUGCCGCGUGCAGGAAGAAGGCCUUCGGGUUGUAAACUGCUUUUGUACGGAGCGAAAAGGUUUCCUCUAAUACAGGGGGCUCAUGACGGUACCGUAAGAAUAAGCACCGGCUAACUACGUGCCAGCCGCCGCAGUAA